CACACCGGGCGACAGCACGUUGAAUGCACCAGUUCCCCACGGAUCACUGAAGUUAAACAACGUUGCGCGUGGUUAGUACCUGGAUGGGUGACCAUCUGGGGAAUCCGCGUGCUGCUGGGU
This 120-nucleotide ribosomal RNA is filed under the name Diaphorina citri (Asian citrus psyllid). The record is from RNAcentral. Lineage: Eukaryota; Metazoa; Arthropoda; Insecta; Hemiptera; Psyllidae.